RNAcentral lists this unclassified non-coding RNA (814 nucleotides) under Leishmania donovani. Its description in RNAcentral is "gene:unknown". The record is from RNAcentral. Lineage: Eukaryota; Euglenozoa; Kinetoplastea; Trypanosomatida; Trypanosomatidae.
CAAUAGGCUAUGCAGCUGACGUCGGGGAGUGCACAGGCCACCGCUCAGGUUGUUUCCUUGAGCCUACUUGCUCACUCCGACGCUGGAAAGACCGCCGACGACGGUCAACGCAUACACACACAGAUGAACCUAAUCGAAACGCAGAGCUGAUGCAUCAACAUGGAUAAGUACGAGUAUAGGGGGGGGGGCGGACGAGGUAUAGCCAUCGCCCAUACGUUUGCUUAGCGGAUACAUGUUACCCGCGAGCGUAGCGAAGACGCCGCGCGGUUUGUCCACCCUAAUUAUGGCGGAAUGGUGAUGAGCGCCUGCGACCAGCACGGCGCGCCAGCAAUACACGUCACGCUGUUUGCAUCCCUGCACCUCUCCACACCCGGUCGCACAAUAUUUGGUGAGCUGGAUACCCCUCUCUUGACGACUUCUCUACUUGGGUUUGCGAGGAGUUUUCCUCCUCUCCCCGCAGGGCUUACGUCUGCUGGUGACCUUCAUUCUCAUCGUUUCAUCAUCUCGUAAGAGGUGCGCGCGAACAGAGAGGCUUUGCACGGGGGUUUUAAGAACAGCCUGCCUUUCUGUGGCUGGCAAGCCGAUCGGCAGCGAUCCGAUGAUGUGACGGACAGAGAUGAGGACAAGUCCGAGAGCCUCCUCUCUGAUGGGGGCGGCGUGGCGUGGUGGAGGUGCUUGCCCCGCUGGCCCUUGGCUUUGGCUUUCCUUUUGCUUGUGCGCCACCCCAUUGCCUGCAACUUUCCUCCCCCUGUUUUCUCGACGUUUCCCCCGCUCCCCACCCAUGCGUCUCUCUCUCUCCGGUUAUCCUCUCAAG